Molecule: ribosomal RNA, 456 nt
Filed under: uncultured bacterium
Lineage: Bacteria
Description: bacterial SSU rRNA
Rfam family: Bacterial small subunit ribosomal RNA
Source: RNAcentral
UACGGAAGGCAGCAGUGGGGAAUAUUGCACAAUGGGCGAAAGCCUGAUGCAGCUAUGCCGCGUGUAUGAAGAAGGCCUUAGGGUUGUAAAGUACUUUCAUCGGGGAGGAAAAAACAAAACUAAUAAUUUUAUUUCUUGACGUUACCCAAAAAAGAAGCACCGGCUAACUCCGUGCCAGCAGCCGCGGUAAUACGGAGGGUGCUAGCGUUAAUCAGAAUUACUGGGCGUAAAGAGCACGUAGGUGGUUUUUUUAAGUCAGAUGUGAAAUCCCUGGGCUUAACCUAGGAACUGCAUUUUGAAACUGAAAUACUAGAGUAUCGUAGAGGGAGGUAGAAUUCUAGGUGUAGCGGUGAAAUGCGUAGAUAUCUGGAGGAAUACCUGUGGCGAAAGCGGCCUCCUAAACGAAUACUGACACUGAGGUGCGAAAGCGUGGGGAGCAAACAGGGAUUAGAUACC